Molecule: ribosomal RNA, 914 nt
Filed under: Chitinophagaceae bacterium UBA4412
Lineage: Bacteria; Pseudomonadati; Bacteroidota; Chitinophagia; Chitinophagales; Chitinophagaceae
Description: bacterial SSU rRNA
Rfam family: Bacterial small subunit ribosomal RNA
Source: RNAcentral
AGAGUUUGAUCCUGGCUCAGGAUGAACGCUAGCGGCAGGCUUAAUACAUGCAAGUCGAGGGGGAUCAGUUGGGUAGCAAUACUCGGCUGUGAGACCGGCAAACGGGUGCGGAACACGUACGCAACCUUCCCAAAACUGGUGAAUAGCCCUCCGAAAGGAGGAUUAAUACACCGUAACAUAUAGAGAUGGCAUCAUUUUUAUAUUAUAGCUCCGGCGGUUUUGGAUGGGCGUGCGCCUGAUUAGGUAGUUGGCGGGGUAACGGCCCACCAAGCCUACGAUCAGUAACUGGUGUGAGAGCACGACCAGUCACACGGGCACUGAGACACGGGCCCGACUCCUACGGGAGGCAGCAGUAAGGAAUAUUGGUCAAUGGACGAAAGUCUGAACCAGCCAUGCCGCGUGAAGGAUGACGGCCCUCUGGGUUGUAAACUUCUUUUAUCUGGGACGAAAAAAGGGCUUUCUAGCUCACUUGACGGUACCAGAGGAAUAAGCACCGGCUAACUCCGUGCCAGCAGCCGCGGUAAUACGGAGGGUGCAAGCGUUAUCCGGAUUUACUGGGUUUAAAGGGUGCGUAGGUGGAUUUGGAAGUCAGGGGUGAAAUCUCCGAGCUUAACUCGGAAACUGCCUUUGAUACUCUAAGUCUUGAAUCAUCUGGAGGUAAGCGGAAUAUGUCAUGUAGCGGUGAAAUGCUUAGAUAUGACAUAGAACACCAAUUGCGAAGGCAGCUUACUACGGAUGUAUUGACACUGAGGCACGAAAGCGUGGGGAUCAAACAGGAUUAGAUACCCUGGUAGUCCACGCCCUAAACGAUGGAUACUCGACAUUUGCGAUAUACAGUAAGUGUCUGAGCGAAAGCAUUAAGUAUCCCACCUGGGAAGUACGAUCGCAAGAUUGAAACUCAAAGGAAUUGACGG